This 315-nucleotide ribosomal RNA is filed under the name uncultured Tomentella. RNAcentral's name for it is "eukaryotic LSU rRNA". Lineage: Eukaryota; Fungi; Basidiomycota; Agaricomycetes; Thelephorales; Thelephoraceae. The record is from RNAcentral.
AACGCACCUUGCGCCUCUUGGCUAUUCCGAGAGGCAUGCCUGUUUGAGUAUCAUGAACACCUCAACUCUCAUGGUUUGCCAUGAUGAGCUUGGACUUUGGAGGUUUUGCUGGCAUCUGUGGUCAGCUCCUCUCAAAUGAAUCAGCUUGCUAGUGAUUGGUGGCAUUGUGGGUGUGAUAACUAUCUACGCCCAUGGGUGUCCACCAGGCAACCUUCAGUGAUGGAGGUUCACAGGGGCUUAGAAACGUCUCUCCUCAGCGAGGGACAGCUUUGAACGUUCGAUCUCAAAUCAGGUAGGACUACCCGCUGAACUUAA